This 378-nucleotide long non-coding RNA is filed under the name Calidris pugnax (ruff). RNAcentral's name for it is "lncRNA (ENSCPUG00000015756.1)". Lineage: Eukaryota; Metazoa; Chordata; Aves; Charadriiformes; Scolopacidae. The record is from RNAcentral.
GUGAGGACAACUAAUUUAAAAUCAGAUUAAAUUUGUGUAAAUUUUUAUGUUGGAGGACUUUUUCACUAACAGACUCAAAUGGAUAUUUUCAGUUUGUGGCUCAUUUGCAGAAUGAUUUUGUUCAUGAGACGGGGUGAAGGUGCAAGAUACUGACUCCGAUUCCUGAUGGGCAUUCCAGCGCAGCCCAGGGCAUCUGGAACGAUAUUUUCCUUUGAAGGCUGCUUCUACACUGCCACAAGCACAGAACUGACAACGAGGUAUAAUUUAUCCACAAAAGAAAUAGCAGGCUCAGCAUUUCAAAGUGAAAUUUACUAAUGAAGAUUGCUCACGACAAGAAGAUGAACAUUCAUGACAAGUUCUCCUUGAAGAACAACCACC